This 253-nucleotide ribosomal RNA is filed under the name uncultured bacterium. Its description in RNAcentral is "partial 16S ribosomal RNA". It matches the Rfam family "Bacterial small subunit ribosomal RNA", at positions 524 to 776 of the family's 1533-position model. The record is from RNAcentral.
UACAGAGGGUGCGAGCGUUAAUCGGAAUUACUGGGCGUAAAGCGCGCGUAGGCGGCUUUUCAAGUCGAUUGUGAAAUCCCCGGGCUUAACCUGGGAACUGCACUUGUGACUGCACGGCUGGAGUACGGCAGAGGGGGAUGGAAUUCCGCGUGUAGCAGUGAAAUGCGUAGAUAUGCGGAGGAACACCGAUGGCGAAGGCAGUCCCCUGGGCCUGUACUGACGCUCAUGCACGAAAGCGUGGGGAGCAAACAGG